Molecule: microRNA, 23 nt
Filed under: Oikopleura dioica
Lineage: Eukaryota; Metazoa; Chordata; Appendicularia; Copelata; Oikopleuridae
Description: odi-miR-1471
Source: miRBase by way of RNAcentral
UCACCUUGGUAUCAAAAUUUGCG